AAACCCCGAAUUUUAGCCAGUUGAGGAGACAGAUUGGAGACUGCUCUCUCGUCCUCAUCAGCUGCAGCACCCAGGAAGCCAGAGUUGAAGUGGAUGCCCCCAGCUCCCCUCCACUGUCCCCACCCAUGGGGUGAGGUGGGGCUGGUCCUCCUGCCCAAGACCCCUCAAGAUCCCUCGCUUCUGCCAUGUGCUGCUCCCAUCAUGUGACCUGCACCUCUAACACACCCUUCCCAUAUCUCCCAUUGCUCUCUGUAAAACAGCCUGGGCCAGCAGCCUCUGGCCAGUCCACUUCACUCCUCAGCACCCCUCAGGAAAAUCCAGGCCCCCACCCUCCAGCCCACUCCUCUCACCCGUGGACUCUCUCGCUUCCUGGAACCUUAUCCAGUAGUCUCACGGAGGUGGGGGAUUUGAGUGUGCCCUGGAGCUCAUGGUCUGCUGUGCCAGUGGGCAUCGAGAGGGCCAGGAGCUGCCCAGUGCGUGGCUCUCAGCAGGCAGGGAUGAGGCUGUGGACAAGUAGUGCCUCGCCUUCUCAAGGACCAUGUUGGAAGCCAACCCCUCGCUCCUGCCUGGAGCUCGGCCCCUGCAGCGCAGAGCUGCGUGGGGGUGAGCAGUGCUGGCAACCUGCUCCUCCAAGGGGCAUCAUGUCAAGAUGCCUUGAUUGGGAGCUAGAGAGAGAGAACCCUGUCUUCUUGGACUCUGGGUUGGGGGCGGGGGGGUGGGGCAGGUGAACCAGUCACAGCUCCAGUGCUACAGAUGCUCCUGUUCUUACCCAGAUUUGACACAUUUUCUUUAAUAAAUGUUUCAUUUGCUGUGUAGCCUUAAGACAAUUUCCAGAGACUUUAAA
RNAcentral lists this long non-coding RNA (844 nucleotides) under Homo sapiens (human). RNAcentral's name for it is "novel transcript". The record is from RNAcentral. Lineage: Eukaryota; Metazoa; Chordata; Mammalia; Primates; Hominidae.